Molecule: long non-coding RNA, 685 nt
Organism: Cyprinus carpio (common carp)
Lineage: Eukaryota; Metazoa; Chordata; Actinopteri; Cypriniformes; Cyprinidae
Source: Ensembl
CCAGAUCAACUUGUCUUACUGCUGAUUGGCUGUGUGUCUCCCAGAGCGCGAUGUGAUUGGACGGCGCGCCUGUCGUGUAACCUCUUUCACCAUUUGGUUUCGUGGCGCAGAGGAUUGAGGCUCAUUCCCUCGCUCUCACUCGGGGCAGCACGAGUCCGGAGGAUGGAGGCGACUGAAGCGAUGGUUGGAGAAGGGAGGAGAGCCUAUGGUUCAAUAGGUCAUAUCUGAGGUACGAUAUGGCGGUAUGCCUCUGAAAAAGGUUGGAUUGCUGUUGAUUGCUGCUCUCUGACAGAGUGCAAAGUUGUUCUGUGAGAGAAAACAAACUCUAGUUGGCUUCUAUGCUGUAAACUCUCACGUAAAACCUUUUUGUAAAGUAGUUUUGGUUUAUAGUGCCUUUCUUUGUGCUGUUUAUAUGACAUAUAGCAAUCAAAAAAUAUGGCCCCUUUAAAUGCAGUUUUUAUAGAAGUGAGCACUUUGAAAUUUGACCUUCAGAUGUAGUUUUGUGAUGCCUCGUACGUUUUCUCUUGUGUUUUGUAGCAAGUGCACUGAGAUACAGGAAUUAAUUCAAAGGCCCUUUGAGUUUUCCACCAUAAAUUGAAGUUAUUGCCUCAGGGCAGUGGUCAAAAUUACUCCCUCUGCAAAUUAUUUAUAUUUUGAAAUAAGACAAGGUUGCAGACUAGUGCCU